Molecule: non-coding RNA, 105 nt
Filed under: Sandaracinus amylolyticus
Lineage: Bacteria; Pseudomonadati; Myxococcota; Polyangiales; Sandaracinaceae
Description: TPP sequence
Rfam family: TPP riboswitch aptamer (THI element)
About the family: Vitamin B(1) in its active form thiamin pyrophosphate (TPP) is an essential coenzyme that is synthesised by coupling of pyrimidine and thiazole moieties in bacteria.
Source: Rfam by way of RNAcentral
UUUCGUCGCUCGGGGCGCGUCCUCCGGAUGGUCGGAGGUCGCUGAGAAGCACCCGGGAACCUGAUCCGGUUCGGACCGGCGUAGGGAACGCGACGAUCGAACGAC